CAAGGAAUAGUAGGCAAUGGGCGAAAGCCUGACCUCGCGACGCCGCGUGAAGGAUGAAGGCCUUCGGGUUGUAAACUUCUUUUUUCAGGGAUGAAUAAUGACAGUACCUGGAGAAUAAGUCACGGCUAACUACGUGCCAGCAGCCGCGGUAAAACGUAGGUGGCGAACGUUAUCCGGAUUUACUGGGCGUAAAGCGUGCGCAGGUGGUUAUUCAAGUCAGAUGUAAAAUCUCCUGGCUCAACUGGGAGGGACCAUCUGAUACUGUUUAACUAGAGUACAGCAGAGGAAAGUGGAAUUCCCGGUGUAGUGGUGGAAUGCGUAGAUAUCGGGAGGAACACCAGUGGCGAAAGCGGCUUUCUGGGCUGUUACUGACACUGUUGCACAAAAGCGUGGGGAGCAAACAGG
This 405-nucleotide ribosomal RNA is filed under the name uncultured bacterium. RNAcentral's name for it is "bacterial SSU rRNA". It matches the Rfam family "Bacterial small subunit ribosomal RNA", at positions 355 to 776 of the family's 1533-position model. The record is from RNAcentral.